RNAcentral lists this long non-coding RNA (277 nucleotides) under Elaeis guineensis (African oil palm). RNAcentral's name for it is "long non-coding RNA (EGUI_LNC061296)". Lineage: Eukaryota; Viridiplantae; Streptophyta; Magnoliopsida; Arecales; Arecaceae. The record is from RNAcentral.
UGGGCAAUCACGCCUGAAGUACUCUAACACCUUGCACUUGUAACAUCUGACUUCCUUCUUGCCCUUCCGGGACUUAGAUCAUUCCAUAGACUUGCUCCUAUCCCUACCUCUUCCAGAUCUCCCCUCAAUGAGUAAACCUUCAUGGGGAGCUCCAUCCUUGGUGAUCCUCUCAUGCUGUUCAUUGGAUCUGAGUACGGAGACAAUAUUUUCAUAGAAUAGAGUCUCCUUCCCAUACAACAAUGUAGUCACCAAUAAAUCAAAUAAAGAAGGCAGCGAG